GCUAUCUUAGUCGCCACAGAAAAGCAAGAUUUAGAGGCGACUAAACUUAAGUCGCAACAAAUAAACACAAUUUUACUCUUUAAUGAUUAGAACAAAAUUUUUAUUCCCGUUUAGAUUAUAUUUUGUGACGACAUUUUUGGAGUUGUCACAAUAGUCUUAUUCUAGCGACUAGGUCGCCUCAGUUCUUCACGCUAAAAUUGAAAAAUUAAUAAAAAGUAAUCAGCCUCACCCUUUAGUUUAUUUCCUAGUGUCUUUUACUUUUUUACCAAAAUAUUCUCUCCUUUCCUAAAACCCUAACUUGAGCCUCCCCAUGGGAAAGAAAAAAUUGAAGCAAGCGACUUCUUUCUCCUGAAACCUUUACUCUGGGAUGCGAACCCCUCGGCCCCUGACCUCUUAUCUCUCUCUCUCUCUUCGAAAAUCCAGAUCUAGAGUUGAAUAUGGAAGAAGAAAUGGUGCAAGCGAUUUGGCUUCAAAAAUUUAAAAAGAACGAUCCGUUCCUUUCCUCUAAAAUUCGUAAGUUGCAGAAGGUUCUUUCCUUUUUGUAUUUCUUGCUUUCUAGUAUUUUAUUUCUCAUUAUUUCAUUAUUUAUACUUGUGUAUACUUGUAAUUCUGAUCUGUGAAGUUAAUUUACUGUUUAUUUGUGUUCUUUAGCUAUCUUGCACUGAUUUGGGUUGAAUCCGACGAACAUAAUGAGGUUUG
RNAcentral lists this long non-coding RNA (699 nucleotides) under Nicotiana tabacum (common tobacco). RNAcentral describes it as "long non-coding RNA (NTAB_LNC007669)". The record is from RNAcentral. Lineage: Eukaryota; Viridiplantae; Streptophyta; Magnoliopsida; Solanales; Solanaceae.